UUUCUUUUCUCCUUUUUACGAAUUAGAUUUUAAAUCAUGAUCGCUUACAGGUAAUAAUUAUUAACGUUUAAAUAAAACAUAGGUAAACAGUAAAUGUUUUAUUGCACGUAAUUGUUUUGAUAGUUUUAAAAGUAAGAUCGAACUCUAUGUAUCACCCUUGGUCGUAAAAGAAGGGAGAGGAAGGAAGACAAAGAAACAAGAUGGUUUCCAAUUUGAUCCGAUGGAAAGCGCUGUAGUAGCGGGACGCGGCGACAAGUGCGACGGGUAUCGGUGAUUAGGAGGGAAGAAGAGGACAAGAAGAGAGGGCUAAGCCCGUGAAAAAAGGACGAGUGGUAGAAAGAGAAAGGGAGAGGGAGAACAGGAGCGCAUGCCGCAGCCACGGCCCCCAACUUGCCCUAAACUCGUGCGAGCAGGCUCUAUCGUCGGUCGAAUUUUAAUGGCGGCUUAUUCCGACUCUCUGUUCAGUGUUGUGUUGUGAAUCGACGGACACAUUGUUCGAAUUUACACACGUGCGGACUAGCUGACACGAAGGACCGUAACUUCUUGUCAAAUAGAAAAACAAGUUUUCGAUUGUGUACGACGGUGUCCCGUCGUAGAAAAUAUUCGAUCGAGAUAGAGGCUCACGAGACAUGGUGCAUAUCCGCGAUGUGCCGUAGCCGUGGCGACUCACCUCACAUCGGAUUCUUUCACAUUAGAGCUGUUUCGUACGUCUUCACUCUUUCGUGGAAAAGGGGUACCGGACAGUGAGCACCAUGUCGGUACCUGGUCAUACAUAUUGCUGGUAGUAACGUAUUCAUAUUGGCGUUCUACCAGCGGUUAUUAUACCCUGAUUAUAUCUAUUAAGCUUCCUACCCUAGCCUUGCAUACGCACAAACGCACACGCCUAGCGUGCGCGCACGUGCUUUGCUAGGUGUCGUAUACACACCAUGAGAUUCCUGGAAUAUAGAACAUUUUCUAUUUCAUCGAUAUUUUCACCGUGCUUGCUGCAACCGUCCUUCCAUGGAUCAUUAUUUUCGUCCAUGUCUGUUGCCACUUGGUUUUUAGUGGUAUUGGUAACUGCAGCAAUAGACACCCCUGCUAGUACUACCGUGCCACCACAAGAGAAUAAAUCACCUCACAUUACUGCACAGUUUCCUGCAGAAGAAAGUCAACAAUAUGGAUUUUAUGCCUUAGAUCCAAAUACAACGAGAGAAGGUGCCCUAAGAUUUAAUCAUCUAGCCAUAGAUCCUAUGACAAAGAGACUCUAUAUUGGAGCUGUUAACAGGCUUUUACAGCUUGAUUCCAACCUUAAGCUUGAAGAACAUGUUUCAACAGGACCAAUAUUGGAUAAUCCCCAGUGUCAUGCCACAGGCUGCUCUUCAAGAGAUACAACUACGCUAAUGAACAAUGUAAACAAGCUUCUUAUUGCUGAUCUUGAAUCACGGACCUUAAUUGCAUGUGGUUCUCUUCGUCAAGGUGCUUGUGAAAAGUACAAAAUGUCGAACAUAUCUAUCAAGCCAGAGUUUAUUCCUCUCAGUGUAGCAGCUAACGAUGAAACGUCUUCUACAUAUGCUUUCAUUGGUCAAAGUUACAAUCCAUGGGGAAAGACAAAUAUUCUGUAUGUAGGUACAACGUUUACCAAUAGAGGAGACUAUCGUCAUGACGUACCUGCCAUUUCGAGCAGAAAUCUUCGUAAUUUAGAAUUUGCAGAAUUUUCAUUUAACAAACAAUCGAUAGUAUACAUCGAUGUUAAAUAUAGAGAUCAUUUUUUAGUCAAAUAUGUUUAUGGGUUUAAUGCAAGUGAUUAUGCAUACUUUGUAUUAGUACAGAAACAAUCUUAUCUUCCUGAACAAGAAGAAUUGGGAUAUACAUCUAGAUUGGCAAGGAUUUGUAUAAGUGAUCAAAAUUAUGAUAGUUAUACGGAAGUGACUUUACAAUGUAUGGUAGAUUUAGGAGAUGGAAAGCAACAUCUUUAUAAUUUGGUACAAGAUGCUAAAGUAGCAUCAGCAGGAAGCGAUUUAGCUAUGCAACUAGGGAUAUCUGUUGGUGAUCCUGUGUUUGUUUCUGUGUUUUCUCCGAGUAAAGGUAUCACAAACGAACCUUUGUCUCGUUCAGCAGUUUGUAUCUACAGUCUACAAGAUAUUGAGACGAAAUUUAACGAGAACAUUCAUAUGUGUUUCAAUGGUACUAUCAAGUAUCGCAAUAUGGGUUACGUUAGUGGUCCGAUACAAGAUGGAAAAUGUCCUUCGGCCGGUAACACUGGGAAUAUCCUUAAUUUUUGUGAAGUGGGCUUGAAAAUUUCUGGCGUAUCACCUAUUGUAAGUCAAGCAAUUUUACAUUUUCCUGAUACAUUUGUCACUUCUGUGACUGUAGCAAAUACAGAAAGUCAUACAAUAGCAUUUUUUGGAACUGAUGACGGUAUAUUAAAGAAAGUUUUGCUUUCUGCUACUGAAGCUUUUGUUUAUGAAAGCAUUGUAAUUGAUAAAGGUCAAAGAUUAUUACCUGAUACAGCAAUCUCACCCGAUGGGGAAUAUAUAUAUGUAUUGUCAACUUCAAGAAUCUCAAAAGUCAAAGUGGAGCACUGUAAUAGUUACACUAAUUGCAGUAGCUGUCUUGAUGCAAAAGACCCUUAUUGCGGUUGGUGUUCUUUAGAAAAAAGGUGUACGGUAAGAGGUGACUGUCAGAAAGCAAGUCAUAGUAGCCCAAGAUGGUUAUCCUUAGGCACUGGUCAACAGUGUAUUGAUUUUGAACAAGUCUUUCCUGAUCAUUUACCUAUCAAUCAGAUGAUUACGGUUCAGUUAACAAUUAGAACAUUGCCUGAAUUGCCAGCAGGUGCCAAUUACAAAUGCGUUUUUGGUAAUGCAGAACCAAUUGAUGCAUUGAUGACUGGCUUUGGUCUUUCCUGUCCUACACCACCCAUUUCUGAGAGGCCUAAUAUACUUGAUGGAACUGAUCAUGUUCUCGUGCCAUUGUCCGUACGUUCAAGCGAAACCAAUAAGGAUUUCGUUUCUCGAAAUUUUGCAUUUUUUGAUUGCUCUAGACAUACUGUAUGUACCGAGUGUGUCAAAUCUCAAUGGGCAUGCAGUUGGUGUGUAUAUGAUAAUAAAUGUACACACAAUACAAGCUGCCAAGGAAUAAUAUCAGGAGAAAAUAAUCAAGCACAUCUAGCUGCACAUGGAGCUCAGUAUUGCCCUAGAUUCAUACCACAAAAGGAACCUUUGAUGUUGCCAAACAGUGUACCUAAAGAAAUCAUUUUAGAAGUUGAAAAUUUACCACACCCACAAGUAGGGCACAGUGGUUUUCAGUGUAUCGUUACGAUAGAAGGAGCUAAUUUAAAAGUUCAAGCAAGAGUUGACAGCAAUCGUUUUAUAGUUUGUGACAAAACUGUUUAUUCUUACGAAGCAUUCACGGGAAAAUAUAAAGCCGAAGUGACCGUUGUUUGGAAUACCAAUCAUUAUGUAGAUCAGACUAAAAUAAUUCUUUAUAAAUGUGAAGUACUUGGAUCGCAUAGGGAACAUGCAGACUGUUCGCUCUGUCUAACGAGAGAUCCUCGAUUUGAAUGUACAUGGUGUGGAAAUAGUUGUGUGUAUAAACAUUCUUGUUUACAUUCACCAUUUGCAGAAUGUCCAAAACCAAGAAUAGACAUGAUUAAACCCUUAAGUGGGCCAAUUGAAGGUGGUACAUUAGUUACCAUAGAAGGGAGUAAUUUAGGAUUAAAGAAAAGUGACGUUGAAGGGAAAAUACAUAUUGGCAAUACCCCAUGUACCUUGGUAAAUUAUGAAGUGUCCGUUCGUAUUGUCUGUCAAACAGGACGACAUGAAGCAACGGAUACAGCUUCCGUUGUUGUCGGUAAUGACGCUGGAUUUACAGAAAGUGCAGUGUUGUUUAAUUACAAGGACAUACGUCUGACUGGGAUUUAUCCAUCCGUUGGCCCACAAAGUGGCGGUACACAACUUGCCAUUACUGGUAUGUAUUUAAAUAUUGGAAGUACGAUAUCUGCCUAUUUGGAUGAAUUACCGUGUCAUGUGAAUGCAACGCAAGCAAGUAGUACAAGAUUGACUUGCGUUACAAGUAAAUCUGGUCGUGUCAGGAGGAUUCACAAGUUAACUUUAUCCAUCGAUGGAGCAAAUCGUACAUUAGUAAAUAAUCCAUUCAAUUAUACGCACGAUCCUACCAUAAUGGAGAUCAAACCAUUGAAAAGCUUUGCUUCCGGUGGGCGAAUGAUAACCGUACAUGGCACAAAUUUGGAUACCAUCCAAAAGCCAGAAAUGGAAGUUUAUUUUGAUACUGAGCCUACACCAGUAAAUCGUACCGUUUGUACGGUAUUAAAUCCAACACAAAUGGAAUGUCCAAGUCCUAGCGUUGCUGGAAGAUUCGUAUCUCUUCAUCGUAACGAACGUACGGCAACAGGUAGUCAUACUAUUUCACAUUCAAUAAGGCUUAAAGAAUCUCAAUUAUCCUUUAAAAUUGCAUUUAUUAUGGACAACGUGGAAAUUGUUCGAGACUUAGAAAAGCAUUUUCAAAGUCUCAGAAAUCGAUUAUUAUACGUCGAGGAUCCGAAGUUUUUUCCAUUUCCACGUAAUGUUAAGUUGUACAAAGGGGAUACGUUAGUUAUCGAAGGAGAAAAUCUUAAUUACGCAAGCGACGAAUCCGAUGUAAAUGUUACCGUGGGUAUGAUGCCAUGUAACGUUACUUCGCUUGCUUUGUCUCAAUUGGUCUGUACACCACCAGAUCAACAGCCCGAUCAUACGGAUGAACUUGGAAUAAAAACAGAAAAUGGUUUACCUUUGGUUGUGGUACGUGUCGGAAGGAGUUUACGAUUUCCUAUUGGAUAUCUUCAUUAUGAAGUUAUCAAGUCCUAUCCUAUACCACCGGAAGCAAUUGCAGGUAUCGCUGCUGGUACUUUUGGUCUUAUAUUCUUAUUCGUUUUGGUCUUGGUCAUUUAUAGAAGAAAAAGUACGCAAGCUGAAAGAGAAUAUAAAAGGAUUCAGAUACAGAUGGAUACUCUCGAAAGUAACGUUAGAAUGGAAUGUAAACAAGCAUUUGCUGAAUUGCAAACCGACAUGACGGAUCUAACAGCAGAUCUCGAAUCGUCCGGCAUACCGACGCUCGACCAUAAGAAUUACAUUAUGAAAGUCUUUUUCCCUGGGGUUAUAGAUCAUCCGAUAUUGAAUGAUCCACGAUCACGCAGCAAUGUCUCUCGCACAAAUUAUGACGCUGCAAUGGUGCAAUUUGAGCAACUUAUUAAUAAUAAAUACUUUGUGUUAACAUUCAUUGAAACUUUAGAGGCACAAAAAGACUUCAAUAUUAGAGACAAAGUUAACGUCGCUUCAUUAUUGAUGGUAGUAUUAAUGGGCAAAAUGGAAUAUGCAACUGAUAUACUUAUGAAUUUAUUACUUAGACUGAUCGAAAAAGCAGUUAAUACAAAGCAUCCGCAACUUAUGUUAAGGAGGACAGAAUCUGUAGUAGAAAAAAUGCUUACAAAUUGGAUGGCACUUUGUAUGUAUAAUUAUUUGAAAGAUUACGCAGGUUCAUCGUUAUUUUUAUUAUUCAAAGCUAUAAAACAUCAAAUAGAGAAAGGUCCUGUGGACGUUAUAACGCACGACGCACGUUAUUCAUUGUCCGAGGAAAGACUUUUACGAGAACAAAUUGAGCACAGCGUUGUGACUUUGCAUGUUGUACAAGAUGAUUUGGAUGAAAAAAUUCAAUGCAAAGUUUUAGAUUGUGACACGAUAAGUCAAGUGAAAUCUAAAAUUCUAGAUGCUCUUUACAAGAAUACUCCUUUUUCGUUAAAGCCGUCCGUUCACGAUGUAGAUCUAGAAUGGAGACACGGCCGCGGUGGCCAUUUAACGCUUCAAGAUGAAGAUCUGACUACCAAGUGUAGCGGCGAAUGGAAGAAGAUAAAUACAUUAGCUCAUUAUGGCGUUAAGGAAUCUGCAGUAAUGUCUCUUAUUCCUAGACAAAAUGAUAGCUUUCCUGUUCCUUGUAAACUACCGUGUCACGCAUGCAAGCCAUCCCAUUAUCAUCAUCAACAACAACCGAUUCAUCAUCAUGGCCAUCAUCACCAUUUACAUCGACAUGCAAAUCAUUGUUCGUCCACUCACCUUCCAUCUGCACCAAAUCACAGCUUAAUAAGUCCUAUAAUGUAUAAUCAUCCUGUUAGCGGCUGUUAUUUCGAUUCUCAACAUUCACCCCCGAUAAUAACGGCAAAUGGUGAUGUUGAGAGUGGACACGGGGGUAAUCAACGAUUAUACCAUUUGGUGAGGCCUAUAGAAGAAGUACAUUACCCUCCUGGAAUGGGUUUCACGAGUAAUAAACACCAUCAUCCUGAACGAACGCACAAAGCCAUUCCCGAAAUAUUCUUAACGAGAUUGCUUUCAACGAAAGGCACUGUCCAAAAGUUCGUUGACGACUUUCUUAAUACGAUAUUGACAGCUAAUGAAGCACUGCCUAGUGCUGUUAAAUGGUUAUUUGACCUGUUGGACGAAGCUGCCAAACAACAUGGUAUUGUAGAUCCAGAAGUGGCACACGCGUGGAAAUCCAAUAGUUUGCCAUUAAGAUUUUGGGUGAAUUUUAUUAAAAAUCCAGAUUUCAUGUUCGAUAUAAACAAGUCUACGACAGUCGACUCGAGCCUUUCUGUAAUAGCACAGACAUUUAUGGAUUCAUGUUCCAUGACAGAACACAGAUUAGGCAAAGAUUCUCCAUCGAAUAAAUUACUUUUUGCCAAGGAUAUACCACAUUAUAGAGAAAAGGUCGGUCGUUUCUAUACGGAUGUACAGAUGCUGCCACAAAUUACAGAUCAGGAAAUGUCUAGUGCCAUGCAACAAUUGAGUGCAUCUCAUGCAAAUGAAUUUGACGUAAUUGUAGCAUUGAGAGAACUGUACAUUUAUGUCAGCAAGUAUUAUGAACAAAUUUUAGAGGCCUUGGAGACAGACGCAGGCUGUCGCAAAUUACACCUAGCACAUAAACUAGAAAAUGUAGCGUGCACGCUCCAAGGAGAAGAGACUAGUGCCUGCUGACACAACCUCCUACCUUCCAUCCCAGGACCUAUCGACCUCUCCAGAAACACUGACUAGUGCCUCCACUUCAUGAAUCAGAUACACCUCGUUACAUAUGUACAAAUAUACACGCCAUGUGCAUAACAAUGCCAUUAGGAGAGACAACAACAGUAUUGAACAAAAUGUGUAUAUUUAUCAAGAAGCACUUCUCAUCUAUUUUACGAGACGUAAAGAAGAAAGAAAGUCACUGAUGCAAAUGCAUCAAAGACAAUUUUGUCGUUUACAACGACAUUUACAUAGUAUUCCUUUAUAAAUGCAUUUUAUGUUUAGUUAAUAUAAGACUGGCUCAUUUUUUAAGUCACAUUUUUGAGAUGAUCGUUAUUCAUCUCACACAUGUAUUAUUCUGAACAAAAGAAAGAAUUUAAUCAAUUCAGCGCGCACUGCCAAGGUUCUUUAUGCGCUACAUUAUAAAUUCUCGAUCGGUUUAACAAGAAAUACGUAUUUAAAGUGUUAUUCGGAUCGAAUUAAAAAAAGAAAAAAAGAAAAAAAAAAGAACGAGAAAAGAAAGAGCAGCUGAUGUUCUGUCAAUGUAGGCCUAGGGAAUCUGGGGACAAAAAUCACUCUCUUGUACUUAACAAUCCUCUUCCUUGUAUUUCAAUUAAUCUUAAGUCUCCAGAAUCCCUCCCCUGCGACAUUAAUUCAUAUUAUCUCACUCUAUUAUAUGUAUUGUAUUUAUUUAUAUUACAAACAGACUAACUCUUUCUCUAUUAUUGAAAUGUGCGUUAAUCUGUACACGACAUCAACAUUUUUUCGCAUAAUUCUUUUUAUGUCUCUCUGUGAGUAUUUGUAUCAAAUUGAGUGCAAGAUUGUAUUGUAUGUAUGUAUACACUCUUUUAUAGUUUUUUAUUUUUUUUUUUAUUUUUUAUUAUUUUUUUUUUAAUUUUUAUAUAUAUACAUAUAUAUAUAUAUAUAUAUAUAUAUAUAUAUAUAUAUAUAUAUAUAUAUAUAUGUAUUAAGUUCUAUUCUCGAGACGAAACUAACUCGAAUUUCUACACAAAAAUGUUAUUGUGAAAAUACGAGAGUAUCGUUAGUAUUAUUUUUGUAAACACAUACAUACAUUCGUAUAAAGAAAUGAGAUGUAUGAUCCUCGUUCGCGAAAAUAUUGUAAAAACAAACGCGAUAUAUGUGACAUACAUUUAAAACGUUAGUGUUAACAUGAAAUUGAAUUUCGAUACAAGAUAUGAUAUUUACUAUUUUCUAACACGUAGUAAUUUUUCUUUUUUUCUUUUAUAAUUUAUUUUUUUUUUUUUUUUUUAACUCCAAAUAGAUCUGAACUUUUAAUUAACAAAUGGACGACCAAAUUAUAUGGUAUUUGUACUAGAAGAAAAAAAAAAGAGCGUUUCGUUUUUAUUUUUACUUUAUUUUUUAAAAUCGUGUAUAUAUAUAAUAUAUUGACACAUAAACCGUCUAUACUUAUGUAGUACUAGUUUAUAUAAAAAUCAACGAUUUACCAACGCGCAUUAUAUGACUAUAUUGUAAACGUACAAUUUUAUGGAUAAAAUGUCCAUAAAUAUUAACUCUUUAUCUGCCCUAACCUAAGUAAACGAAUAAAGGAAAAAUAAUGAUGAUAGUUUAGUAAUGAUGAUGAUCUAAUGCGAUGAUAAGAUUAUCGCUUACGAAAAUAAAAUAAAAUAAAAAAAAUCAAAGAGCGUCCCAUUUUUUACAACGCUCGUUAGAAAUAGUAUGAAUAUAUAUUUUUCAUUCCUUAAUGAUGAAUUAAAAAAAAAAAAGAAAAAAAAAACAAAUAAAAAAAAUGAAAACAAAAAAAUAAACAUUAUUACUUACUUUGGUGUGUGGCAGGUAAUGUGUUAAAAAAAAACUUUCAAAGAAGCGAAUACGAUUAAUAUUUUGUUGGUUUAAAAAUGACAAAUAAAUUUGUAAUAAAUAGGAAUAAUGACUGUUCGUUGUAGUAUGGCUUUUGGAAUGUGACUUUCAACAACCUUAAAUGCAUUUUUAUUGCUUUAUUCGCUUAACUGCAAAAAGAAUAUAUUUAGAUUUAUUAUUAACUCGUAAUUAUACCAAUAUUAGCUUUUGGUACAAAAGAUUCAAUUUUGCCGCGUAAUAUAUCAUAGAGGUUAUAAAAACUAAAACUUUUUCUAAUCGUGAAGAUACGUUAUCAAGUUUUUUAAUUAAAAAAAUAAGAGCGUACGCUUGUAUGCAUUGAUACAUGAAAUAAUUUAAUAUAUAAAAGGUAAUUCAUUAAAUAUAUAUAACUCUUAA
Vespa crabro (European hornet) is the source of this 9257-nucleotide RNA transcript. It is a transcript of the gene named plexin-B, with no coding region annotated. The record is from RefSeq and is a predicted model, not a curated record. NCBI's taxonomy places the organism in Eukaryota, Metazoa, Arthropoda, Insecta, Hymenoptera, Vespidae. The transcript has 8 exons.